CAGGACGAACGCUGGCGGCGUGCCUAACACAUGCAAGUCGAGCGAUGAAGCCCUUCGGGGUGAAUUAGCGGCGGACGGGUGAGUAACACGUGGGUAACCUGCCUUAUAGAGGGGGAUAGCCUUCCGAAAGGAAGAUUAAUACCGCAUGAAAUGUUUUUAUCGCAUGGUAGAAACAUCAAAGGAGUAAUCCGCUAUAAGAUGGACCCGCGGCGCAUUAGCUAGUUGGUGAGGUAACGGCCCACCAAGGCGACGAUGCGUAGCCGACCUGAGAGGGUGAUCGGCCACAUUGGAACUGAGACACGGUCCAGACUCCUACGGGAGGCAGCAGUGGGGAAUAUUGCGCAAUGGGGGAAACCCUGACGCCAGCAACGCCGCGUGAAUGAAGAAGGCCUUAGGGUUGUAAAGUUCUGUUUUCUGGGACGAUAAUGACGGUACCAGAGGAGGAAGCCACGGCUAACUACGUGCCAGCAGCAGC
This 475-nucleotide ribosomal RNA is filed under the name uncultured bacterium. Its description in RNAcentral is "bacterial SSU rRNA". It matches the Rfam family "Bacterial small subunit ribosomal RNA", at positions 25 to 518 of the family's 1533-position model. The record is from RNAcentral.